GCGACAAUACGCUAACGCCUUGCGAUGGUGUUUUAUUUGCAGGCGAUUCUUAUAAUGGCGUCUUCAAUGAUUAUUUUCUUUGAUGUGCAUCCAGUAAUUAAGUUAUUUCAAGAAAAGCAAUUUCAUUGUGAGAUACCAUCAAGUUAAGAAGGUAUCCUGGAAACUUGUGCAACUUCCAUGCUUAGUGCACAGCUGUAUUGCGUGCUGGUGCCUGCUGCUGUCACAGUUGUUCGACGCGACGUUGGAGCAGGAUGUGACGUCGCCGGAAGCGGCAGGUGGUGGAGUGACGGAGCUGUACGCGGCGCACCCUGGCGAGCAGGCGGACAACUCUGGUGGUGGGUCCGCGGCGCUGCUGAGGAAGCUGGGUCCUAUCGUGGUGCCCGAUAAUGAGACGGACGGACUGGCGCAUGAUAGCAGCGAGCAGAGC
Long non-coding RNA from Cryptotermes secundus, 427 nucleotides. RefSeq lists it as uncharacterized. Lineage: Eukaryota; Metazoa; Arthropoda; Insecta; Blattodea; Kalotermitidae. The transcript has 3 exons. The record is from RefSeq and is a predicted model, not a curated record.